AAAUUGAAGAGUUUGAUCAUGGCUCAGAUUGAACGCUGGCGGCAGGCCUAACACAUGCAAGUCGAACGGUAACAGGAAGAAGCUUGCUUCUUUGCUGACGAGUGGCGGACGGGUGAGUAAUGUCUGGGGAACUGCCUGAUGGAGGGGGAUAACUACUGGAAACGGUAGCU
RNAcentral lists this ribosomal RNA (170 nucleotides) under Escherichia coli. Its description in RNAcentral is "partial 16S ribosomal RNA". It matches the Rfam family "Bacterial small subunit ribosomal RNA", at positions 1 to 164 of the family's 1533-position model. Lineage: Bacteria; Pseudomonadati; Pseudomonadota; Gammaproteobacteria; Enterobacterales; Enterobacteriaceae. The record is from RNAcentral.